UGGGGAAUUUUGGACAAUGGGGGAAACCCUGAUCCAGCCAUCCCUCGUGCGCGAUGAAGGCCUUCGGGUUGUAAAGCACUUUUGGCAGGAAAGAAACGUCAUGGGUUAAUACCCCGUGAAACUGACGGUACCUGCAGAAUAAGCACCGGCUAACUACGUGCCAGCAGCCGCGGUAAUACGUAGGGUGCAAGCGUUAAUCGGAAUUACUGGGCGUAAAGCGUGCGCAGGCGGUUCGGAAAGAAAGAUGUGAAAUCCCAGAGCUCAACUUUGGAACUGCAUUUUUAACUACCGGGCUAGAGUGUGUCAGAGGGAGGUGGAAUUCCGCGUGUAGCAGUGAAAUGCGUAGCUAUGCGGAGGAACACCGGUGGCGAAGGCAGCCUCCUGGGAUAACACUGACGCUCAUGCACGAAAGCGUGGGGAGCAAACAGG
This 429-nucleotide ribosomal RNA is filed under the name Acidobacteriota bacterium. RNAcentral describes it as "Acidobacteria bacterium partial 16S ribosomal RNA". It matches the Rfam family "Bacterial small subunit ribosomal RNA", at positions 355 to 776 of the family's 1533-position model. The record is from RNAcentral. Lineage: Bacteria; Pseudomonadati; Acidobacteriota.